Molecule: transfer RNA, 72 nt
Filed under: Methanomicrobia archaeon
Lineage: Archaea; Methanobacteriati; Methanobacteriota; Methanomicrobia
Also listed under: 1 other name
Description: tRNA-Gly
Rfam family: tRNA
About the family: Transfer RNA (tRNA) molecules are approximately 80 nucleotides in length. Their secondary structure includes four short double-helical elements and three loops (D, anti-codon, and T loops). Further hydrogen bonds mediate the characteristic L-shaped molecular structure. tRNAs have two regions of fundamental functional importance: the anti-codon, which is responsible for specific mRNA codon recognition, and the 3' end, to which the tRNAs corresponding amino acid is attached (by aminoacyl-tRNA synthetases). tRNAs cope with the degeneracy of the genetic code in two manners: having more than one tRNA (with a specific anti-codon) for a particular amino acid; and 'wobble' base-pairing, i.e. permitting non-standard base-pairing at the 3rd anti-codon position.
Source: RNAcentral
GCGCCGGUAGUGUAGGGGUUAUCACUGUGCCUUGCCAAGGCACCGACCCGGGUUCGAAUCCCGGCCGGCGCA